GACGAACGCUGGCGGCGUGCUUAACACAUGCAAGUCGAACGAUGAAGCCUAGCUUGCUAGGUGGAUUAGUGGCGAACGGGUGAGUAAUACGUGAGUGACCUACCUUUGACUCUGGGAUAAGCCUGGGAAACUGGGUCUAAUACCGGAUACGACCAACCUCCGCAUGGGGUGUUGGUGGAAAGCGUUAUGGAGUGGUUUUAGAUGGGCUCACGGCCUAUCAGCUUGUUGGUGAGGUAAUGGCUUACCAAGGCGACGACGGGUAGCCGGCCUGAGAGGGUGACCGGCCACACUGGGACUGAGACACGGCCCAGACUCCUACGGGAGGCAGCAGUGGGGAAUAUUGCACAAUGGGCGCAAGCCUGAUGCAGCGACGCCGCGUGAGGGAUGACGGCCUUCGGGUUGUAAACCUCUGUUAGCAUCGAAGAAGCGAAAGUGACGGAGGGCAGAGAAAGC
Molecule: ribosomal RNA, 453 nt
Filed under: Rothia dentocariosa
Lineage: Bacteria; Bacillati; Actinomycetota; Actinomycetes; Micrococcales; Micrococcaceae
Description: bacterial SSU rRNA
Rfam family: Bacterial small subunit ribosomal RNA
Source: RNAcentral